This 286-nucleotide ribosomal RNA is filed under the name uncultured bacterium. Its description in RNAcentral is "partial 16S ribosomal RNA". It matches the Rfam family "Bacterial small subunit ribosomal RNA", at positions 28 to 310 of the family's 1533-position model. The record is from RNAcentral.
GAUGAACGCUAGCUACAGGCUUAACACAUGCAAGUCGAGGGGCAUCACAAGGUAGCAAUACUGAGGUGGCGACCGGCGCACGGGUGAGUAACACGUAUCCAACCUGCCGUUUACUCUUGGAUAGCCUUCUGAAAAAGGAGAUUAAUACAAGAUAGUAUCAUGAGAUCACAUGUUCACAUGAUUAAAGAAUUUCGGUAAACGAUGGGGAUGCGUUCCAUUAGAUAGUAGGCGGGUAACGCCCACCUAGUCUACGAUGGAUAGGGGUUCUGAGAGGAACGGUCCCCCA